RNAcentral lists this unclassified non-coding RNA (324 nucleotides) under Hevea brasiliensis (rubber tree). The record is from RNAcentral. Lineage: Eukaryota; Viridiplantae; Streptophyta; Magnoliopsida; Malpighiales; Euphorbiaceae.
GUCAUUAUCCAUAGAACAAAUCAUUCUAGUAAUCAUUUAUGGAAAACAAGGACAGGAGCCACAAUCUUUAAACUGCUCAAAUAUGGAAAAUAUUCUGAGGUUGUAAGCUCAAAAUGUACCAAACUAAACCAUGUAAUCUGACAAUGAACUAUUGCAGGAUCACAUUGUGGUCACCAAAAGACAUUUUUCGUUUCUACUUUUAAUACAAGUCAGUUGAAACAAAAAUCUAAAGAGCUAUGAUUUAAAAAAUUUCACAUUGCACAACAGUGAAUAUUAUGACUUGAAUCAGAGGAAUUGUCACCUGUGAAGCUGGUCUGUGAUUGC